CUCGGCUGGGCGCGGCAUGGAGGCGGCGCGGGACGUGGUGGGCUCGCUGCUGCGAUCUUUGGUAUCCAUGGGAGCAUCUGUGGGAGCGGUAACAAAACAGACCCUGUUCCCUCCUCUCAUGCCUGCAGGGAGACCUUUUCGUGUAUCAAAUGCCUCCAGAAGCAGCCGGAAAGGAAUUGUUGCAAGCAGUCUGCAAGAGCUAAUCAGCAAGACCUUAGAUGCCUUCCUUAUAUCUGCUAGAAUUAUUACUCUGGUUUUGGAGGAAGAUGGCACAGUUGUAGAAACAGAAGAGUUCUUUCAGUCCCUGGACGAUAAUACACACUUCAUGAUCCUAGAAGAAGGACAAAAAUGGACACAAACAAGAAAUGGAGUCACCCCUAUGAGACAAAAGAAGAAAAUGGGAGUAGCUAAUAUCACAUUUGAUCUGUACAAGCUGAACCCUAAAGAUUUUAUUGGCUGCUUAAAUGUGAAGGCCACUUUCUAUGAAAUCUACUCUGUGUCAUAUGAUAUCAAAUGUAUGGGAGCCAAAAGCAUAUUGCGGAAGGUGCUUCAGCUAAUAUCCCAUGCUGCACAAAUAACUGGACAAUUUCUUCUCUACACUGGAACUUACAUGUUGCAGCUGAUGGGUGAAUAUGAUGAAGGCGGCACAUGUACAAGACGAAAGCAGGAAUAGUGAGCACAGCUGCACUUCUAAUACUGGAUCCUUUUGCUUAAAGAUGUUAUUUUGCCCAGUUUUGAUUGUAAUGAUGUUUAAAGCAGGGGCUGUUUACUAAGGUGAACUGACCUUUUUUCCCCAUGUGGGAAUGCUUGUAGGCCUCAGCCAUAAAAUGUUUGGUGUUCAGACUCUUAACAGAAAAAGGUUGAAUGCCUAAUGUUUGAGAGUUGGGCAACUGGAGAGAGAACAAGUCUUUGCCCCAGCAACUCUAAAUGGAGAAUUGGUAUACUUGGAAGCAUGCAGGCUUUUGGAAAACAAACAGUGGUGGGGAUCUUGUGUCAAAAUGCAGACCCCUGUUGAAGGAGAAAAAAAAACGAACUACUGUUGUAGGGAUUUCUUGAGGUUUUUAUGUGCUGGCUUAUGACCAAUUUUAGGUAUAUGAUUAGAUGUAUUUUUGCUCAAGAACAAAAGAGUUAAGGAGAUAGCAGGUACAGGUAAAUGUGUCUUUGACAACAGAUGCUACCCAGGAAGAGAAACUCAGUAACAGAGAGAAUGAGUGGGACUGGGGAAAGAAAGCAGCAGGAGCAAAAGGGAAAGGAUCUCAAGAUGCCUGCCACACCUCUACUGAGACAAGAAUUGUUUCACUAUCAGCUGCAUCGAUUAGCCCUGUUCUGGGGUCCGAAGGCUGAAGAAAACCUAAUGCUCUAAAAGAGUAACAGGUGAACAGGAAGGAGCCAAGAAGCAUGGUUGCUGGUGUCCAUUCUGAUCUAUCAGCUGGGUUUGUUCACUUCAAAUGUCACUAAUACACAGAAAUAUUGCUCUCACUUUUAUCUGCAAAUUUCACCUUCAUAUGCUUAUUUGUGCCUUCCCUUUAAGAAUCUGACUUAGCUGAAGCUGUAUCUUUCAAAUCACUGUUGUGGUGAGAAGCAGCCUAAAGGCCAGUCUUAAAGGGACUGACAGACAAGUUUGCCAGGUCUCUUUCUGUUUAGUAAUGGUAUUACAAAAGAGUAGACAGGUAAGAAAGAAACCAUGUGUUUUUUUUCUUUUUUUCUUUUUUUUCUUUUUUUUUUUUUCUUUCCAUCCACUUCUGAGUGUUUGCUCUUUCUUAGUUUGGAGGAGAGGCAAGACUCCAGGCAAGGGAAGGGCUGGUUCUUACUAAUUUCUCCCAAGGAAGAAUGGCUGCAACUUGUAGCACUGUCAAGUUUCCUUUAAAAGAAAGCGCUAAAACUGCUCUGCAGCUACUGAGGAAAGAUUACAUUAAAAUGAAAGUUUUAUAAUUCAUGUUUAUUCUCUUCCCCUCCACAACACACUGAAAUAGUAACUGUUGGUCAAGGUCUUUCUAUCAAUAUCAAGGAGUAGCAUUUAACUGAUGCAGUGCAAGGGCCUUGUUACCAACUCUUUCAGCUUUUAAGGCCAUUUAUUCCAUUAAAACAAGCCUGUCUUUGGAAAGUAAACUCUGCAUGUUGCUCCUGGGAAUACAUAUGUUGGAAAUGGGAGUGCCAACAUUAAAAAAAAAAAAAAAAAAAAGUAUUGUUCAAUAUUGGAUUAGCUUGUAAAUUGCCUCUUCAAUAUCUGUAAUGCAAAAGCUUUUGUAAAUCUGGACUGCAGAUCUCUCAUUCCAGCCUCCUAUAGCUGGAGGGAAUUACUACUGAGCUAACACUCCAUAGUUUCCAGUGGCACUAUAUAAAAAUUUUAAAUCUGUAAGACUAACUCUAUAUGAAUUUGAAAUGUUUUCAAGCGGCUGCUUCUUUGAGAGCUUAAAACUUGAGCUGCUGAAGGUCAUCUGAGCUGCAAAGUCGCCAUCUCAAAGUAUCUCUGUGUUCCAAUUCAGAAUGCAAACAGCUGAACAAAGUAACUCAAAUUUGGAAAUUUCCAAAACACUUCUCUCAUUGUGCAGAAAUACCAAGUGUUUGAAAUUGCUCUAUUGCUACUGAAUCUGAAUUUUGCUACAGGCUUAGUAUUUGGGGGAUGAUAUAUGCUACUGUACAAACUUUGCCCCCCCCCCCCCCCAGAAAUAAAGUUUUGGCUUUGAGUCAAACUGGAGUGCAUAAUUCUCUGAAUUGGAGCCACUUUUUUUUUUUUUUUUUUUUUUGCAGCCUGCUGAAGAGAUGCAGCUUUCACUUCAACUAUACAUGGUACACAGAAAAGUACAUCUUCAGCAUUUUUUAGCUUCCAGAAAACCACAUACAAGUGGUGUGCACUAUCUGUUAAGAUACAGAUUUAAAGAAAAAAGGCUUUUAACUGCAGGUAUGCAGAGAUUAAGCUAGCUUUUCUACUUUAUUUCUUAAUUUGUUUUCCUCAUUUAAUCUGCACUUGUUGUUGCAGUCAAGGCUUGGUAGCACUGAAGUGUGUGUCAAAGGUGUGAAACAUGUUUACUGCCUCCCCUUGCAUUAGCCAUUUUGCCUGUUGCUUUGUAUCACUUACUGACAAUCCAGUGCACCAAGUCAUACUCUCUAGUUACCAAAAAAGGAAUUUUCACUGAAGUACUCGAUCUUGUUGACUCAGGCACUAUUCAUGAGCUUCAGGCAAAACAAAGCUGCUCUCUUUGUAACUAGAAUGAAGAAUCUACUAACUUUUUUUCUUUCUUUGUGCAUGUGAUUCAGGAUUUAUCAUUACUUCAUUUCCUUCCUUUUGUAAACACAUGAAGCUGUUGCUUUCUUAAACCUUUCUAAUUUUUUCAGAAGAAAUGGGGUUACAAACCUUUCUCUCUAGAGGGAGAGGAUAACUCCCUGCAGAGAAGGGAGUGCCUAAAAGGAAAAUGGGACUUUAGGCUAGAAGAUUUUUUUUAGUAUAGAGUGCAGAGAGGCAGGUGUCUGAAAAUUAGGAAAUGUUGGUAAUUCUCAAUAGUACUGUGAAGAUAAAUACAAUAUGUGUGAUCAUUUGUAACUGACUGGAACUAUAAAUCAUUUCAGCAUACUUCUUCCUGAGAUAGCACUUGAAUUAAAGGCACAAGCUUCUUUUAAAAAGUGUUUAAAAUUGAAGUACUAAGUAUAUUUUUGAUUUAAUACCUCUGGUUUUACUGGAAAUACUAUCAUAAUUAACAUGUCACUUUAGCUGUUUAUUAAUAAGUAAUCCUUAUGAGGUUUAAGUAUUUAUCAUUUUGUUUUUAUCUUACCCGGUUAUAUAUCCAGUUAAAAUAUUUAUGAAUAUUGUUGUUUUCCUAAGGGGAAAGAUGGUGUUUUACCCCUUCACAGCUUUCAAGUCCACUAGUUUAACUUGCUAUGACAUUAAGAUGAGUAGGAAUUAUAAUGUGUCAGUGAUGGCAAAAUUUUCUGAUACGUAGUGCCAAUUUUAAGAAAUACCAUCCAUGAAUAAAUAUAUUCAAAUAGUGGCUUUGGA
Molecule: RNA transcript, 3994 nt
Organism: Rhea pennata
Lineage: Eukaryota; Metazoa; Chordata; Aves; Rheiformes; Rheidae
Gene: CIDEA
Gene name: cell death inducing DFFA like effector a
Exons: 6
Source: RefSeq, a predicted model, not a curated record